Molecule: ribosomal RNA, 446 nt
Filed under: uncultured bacterium
Lineage: Bacteria
Description: partial 16S ribosomal RNA
Rfam family: Bacterial small subunit ribosomal RNA
Source: RNAcentral
CCUACGGGUGGCAGCAGUCGAGAAUCAUUCACAAUGGCGGAAACCCUGAUGGUGCGACGCCGCGUGGGGGAAUGCAGGUCUUCGGAUUGUAAACCCCUGUCAUGUGGGAGCAAAUUAAAAAGAUAGUACCACAAGAGGAAGAGACGGCUAACUCUGUGCCAGCAGCCGCGGUAAUACAGAGGUCUCAAGCGUUGUUCGGAAUCACUGGGCGUAAAGCGUGCGUAGGCGGGUUCGUAAGUCGUGUGUGAAAGGCGCGGACUCAACCCGCGGAGGGCAGAUGAUACUGCGAGACUAGAGUAAUGGAGGGGGAACCGGAAUUCUCGGUGUAGCAGUGAAAUGCGUAGAUAUCGAGAGGAACACUCGUGGCGAAGGCGGGUUCCUGGACAUUAACUGACGCUGAGGCACGAAGGCCAGGGGAGCGAAAGGGAUUAGAUACCCCUGUAGUC